UCACUCAUCUUGAGGGACUGAUGGAGAGUCAACCCCGACACACCAGAAAAUAAACCUCUUGCUUUUGAUUCUCAUUUGGGAGCAUCUAGAACCUUCAGAUGGUGCACACGCUGUUCCCACUGAAGCCUGAGGCCUCCCCCCUUAUCCAUCUGGCAAAUCCGUACUCCUGAGGCCCAGCAUCUUCCCUGGGUAAACAAAAGCCAGGACACAUUCAUCUUUGUUAUCCAGCAUGGAAAAUUUAAGUCCCAGGUAACUCAAGUAAAUACAGUGGAGCAUUCCAAACAGAAGCUGAGACCCUGUGGAUGAUAUUGCAGCAGAUGAAGAUGUAGCUCUCAGCACGUGCCUGCAUGCUGCC
Molecule: long non-coding RNA, 355 nt
Organism: Mus pahari (shrew mouse)
Lineage: Eukaryota; Metazoa; Chordata; Mammalia; Rodentia; Muridae
Exons: 5
Source: RefSeq, a predicted model, not a curated record